UACGGAGGGUGCAAGCGUUAUCCGGAUUCACUGGGUUUAAAGGGUGCGUAGGCGGAAUUAUAAGUCAGUGGUGAAAGCCCCGAGCUCAACUUGGGAACUGCCAUUGAUACUGUUUUUCUUGAGUGUGGUUGAAGUGGGCGGAAUAUGACAUGUAGCGGUGAAAUGCUUAGAUAUGUCAUAGAACACCGAUUGCGAAGGCAGCUCACUAAACCAUUACUGACGCUGAGGCACGAAAGCGUGGGGAGCGAACAGG
Molecule: ribosomal RNA, 253 nt
Filed under: uncultured bacterium
Lineage: Bacteria
Description: partial 16S ribosomal RNA
Rfam family: Bacterial small subunit ribosomal RNA
Source: RNAcentral